RNA transcript from Carassius auratus (goldfish), 652 nucleotides. It is a transcript of the gene named acyl-coenzyme A thioesterase 9, mitochondrial-like, with no coding region annotated. The transcript is spliced from 6 exons. Lineage: Eukaryota; Metazoa; Chordata; Actinopteri; Cypriniformes; Cyprinidae. The record is from RefSeq and is a predicted model, not a curated record.
AAGUAGACACUAGCCGUGUGUUUGUUGUGCGUAACGUUAUUUAUAACCAUUAGCACGGUGCGCUGAGGAUCGGGAAGUGAAAUAAAUCUGCAAGUUGUGAUCUGUUGUUGAUUUGAAGAAAGUUACUGGUGUUCUUCAACGUGUUGAGAGAAGAACAAAAAAAAUGAUGUUGUGUCCACGCUCACUCAUUUUGGAUAGGGUCCUAAAGUCUGCAGUGACCUUCCCUUACAGGAAGUUCUCAAUGAGUCAAAUAUCCCAACAAGGGAAGGUUCCAGAUAUGGCUGAAGUUCGCAACAGGCUGAGAGAAAUAGUUGGUGGAUCUACCAACUGGCAAGAUCAUCAGCAAGUGCUGGCUGAGCGUGCAACACUAGGCCAGUAUCUUGCUCGAGUCAGGAUCAACUGCCUACAAAAAGAAUGAAGGACAGUAUGAUAGAGGCGCAUCUUCCUCUGGGUUCCCAGCCUGCCUUGAGAGAGAAAUAUCUUAACUCUCACAACAGCGUCAGGUUUGGUCGUAUUUUGGAGGACUUGGACUGUUUAGGAGUGCUCAUCUGUUACUCUCACACAUGGAAUAAGGAGCUGAAAAGAUCUCCACUGUCUAUUGUCACCGCCCUAGUGGACAAGAUCGGUAUUGCUUCUUGAAGUAGUAUACGUU